AUUGAACGCUGGCGGCAGGCCUAACACAUGCAAGUCGAGCGGAUGAGGGUAGCUUGCUACCUGAUUCAGCGGCGGACGGGUGAGUAAUGCCUAGGAAUCUGCCUGGUAGUGGGGGACAACGUUUCGAAAGGAACGCUAAUACCGCAUACGUCCUACGGGAGAAAGUGGGGGAUCUUCGGACCUCACGCUAUCAGAUGAGCCUAGGUCGGAUAGCUAGUUGGUGGGGUAAAGGCUCACCAAGGCGACGAUCCGUAACUGGUCUGAGAGGAUGAUCAGUCACACUGGAACUGAGACACGGUCCAGACUCCUACGGGAGGCAGCAGUGGGGAAUAUUGGACAAUGGGCGCAAGCCUGAUCCAGCCAUGCCGCGUGUGUGAAGGAGGUCUUCGGAUUGUAAAGCACUUUAAGUUGGGAGGAAGGGCAGUAAGUUAAUACCUUGCUGUUUUGACGUUUACCGACAGAAUAAGCACCGGCUAACUCUGUGCCAGCACG
Molecule: ribosomal RNA, 492 nt
Filed under: uncultured bacterium
Lineage: Bacteria
Description: bacterial SSU rRNA
Rfam family: Bacterial small subunit ribosomal RNA
Source: RNAcentral